This 932-nucleotide ribosomal RNA is filed under the name uncultured archaeon. RNAcentral's name for it is "bacterial SSU rRNA". It matches the Rfam family "Archaeal small subunit ribosomal RNA", at positions 1 to 918 of the family's 1478-position model. The record is from RNAcentral.
UUCCGGUUGAUCCUGCCGGACCCCACUGCUAUCGGGGUGGGACUAAAACAUGCAAGUCGAGCGCCUCCAAGCUAUGGUGAAGGCGCGGCAAACGGCUCAGUAACACGUGGCCAACCUACCCUUGGGACGGAGACAACCCCGGGAAACUGGGGCUAAUCCCCGAUAGGUGAGGAAUCCUGGAAUGGACCCUCGCCCAAAAGACGUUGAGUCCAUGCUAUUCAGCGUCGCCCAAGGAUGGAGCCGCGACCGAUCAGGUAGUUGGUUGAGGUAACGGCUCACCAAGCCUAUAACCGGUACGGGCCGUGAGAGCGGGAGCCCGGAGAUGGGCACUGAGACAAGGGCCCAGGCCCUACGGGGCGCAGCAGUUGCGAAAACUCCGCAAUGCGCGAAAGCGUGACGGGGCUACCCCGAGUGCCGCCCGUUGAGGGCGGCUUUUCCACGGUGUAAGGAGCCGUGGGAAUAAGGAGAGGGCAAGACUGGUGUCAGCCGCCGCGGUAAUACCAGCUCUCCGAGUGGUGGGGACGAUUAUUGGGCUUAAAGCGUUCGUAGCCGGCUUAACAAGUCUUCCGUUAAAUCCAACGAUCUAAUCGUUGGGCUGCGGGAGAUACUGUUGGGCUAGGAGGCGGGAGAAGCCGACGGUAUUCUCGGGGUAGGGGUGAAAUCCUGUAAUCCCGGGAGGACCACCAGUGGCGAAGGCGGUCGGCUAGAACGCGCUCGACGGUGAGGGACGAAAGCUGGGGGAGCGAACCGGAUUAGAAACCCGGGUAGUCCCAGCUGUAAACGAUGCGGGCUAGUGUUGGGGUGGCCACGAGCUACUUCAGUGCCGCAUGGAAGCAAUUAAGCCCGCCGCCUGGGGAGUACGGUCGCAAGGCUGAACUUAAGGAAUUGGCGGGGAGCACACUAGCGUGAAGCUUGCGUUUAUGAUUCAACGC